This 633-nucleotide ribosomal RNA is filed under the name Nebria obliqua chuskae. RNAcentral describes it as "partial large subunit ribosomal RNA". The stretch from base 389 to 548 matches the Rfam family "Bacterial large subunit ribosomal RNA", at positions 2473 to 2632 of the family's 2925-position model. Lineage: Eukaryota; Metazoa; Arthropoda; Insecta; Coleoptera; Carabidae. The record is from RNAcentral.
GUCCUUUAGAUGUUAAUUUAAGGUCUAACCUGCCCACUGAAUUAUUUUAAAUGGCCGCAGUAAUUUGACUGUGCAAAGGUAGCAUAAUCAUUAGUUUUUUAAUUGAAAGCUUGUAUGAAAGGUUGGACGAAGUAAAAUCUGUCUCUAAUUAAAUUAAUUUAGAAUUUAACUUUUAAGUUAAAAGGCUUAAAUUUAACUAAAAGACGAGAAGACCCUAUAGAUCUUUAUAUUUAAAUUAAUAAAUUUAAUUAAGAAUUUUUAAAAUUUUAUUAAUUUAAUUAUUUUAUUGGGGUAAUAUAAAGAUUAAAAUAAUUCUUUUUUUUUAUUAACAUUAAUUUAUGAUUUUGAUGAUCCAAUUAUAUUGAUUUUAAGAUUAAGUUACCUUAGGGAUAACAGCGUAAUUUUUUUAGAGAGUUCUUAUCGAUAAGAAAGUUUACGACCUCGAUGUUGGAUUAAAGAUUAUUUUAGGUGUAGAAGCUUAAAAAUUUUGGUCUGUUCGACCAUUAAAUCUUUACAUGAUCUGAGUUCAGACCGGUGUAAGCCAGGUCGGUUUCUAUCUUUAGUAAAUUAAAAUAUUUUAGUACGAAAGGACCAAUUAUUUAAUAUAAAUAUUUAAAUUUUGAUUAUUAUUAA